This 463-nucleotide ribosomal RNA is filed under the name Pediococcus acidilactici. Its description in RNAcentral is "bacterial SSU rRNA". It matches the Rfam family "Bacterial small subunit ribosomal RNA", at positions 96 to 546 of the family's 1533-position model. Lineage: Bacteria; Bacillati; Bacillota; Bacilli; Lactobacillales; Lactobacillaceae. The record is from RNAcentral.
UGGCGGACGGGUGAGUAACACGUGGGUAACCUGCCCAGAAGCAGGGGAUAACACCUGGAAACAGAUGCUAAUACCGUAUAACAGAGAAAACCGCCUGGUUUUCUUUUAAAAGAUGGCUCUGCUAUCACUUCUGGAUGGACCCGCGGCGCAUUAGCUAGUUGGUGAGGUAACGGCUCACCAAGGCGAUGAUGCGUAGCCGACCUGAGAGGGUAAUCGGCCACAUUGGGACUGAGACACGGCCCAGACUCCUACGGGAGGCAGCAGUAGGGAAUCUUCCACAAUGGACGCAAGUCUGAUGGAGCAACGCCGCGUGAGUGAAGAAGGGUUUCGGCUCGUAAAGCUCUGUUGUUAAAGAAGAACGUGGGUGAGAGUAACUGUUCACCCAGUGACGGUAUUUAACCAGAAAGCCACGGCUAACUACGUGCCAGCAGCCGCGGUAAUACGUAGGUGGCAAGCGUUAUCC